GUCGAGCGGAAACGAUGGAAGCUUGCUUCCAGGCGUCGAGCGGCGGACGGGUGAGUAAUGCAUAGGAAUCUGCCCGAUAGUGGGGGAUAACCUGGGGAAACUCAGGCUAAUACCGCAUACGUCCUACGGGAGAAAGCAGGGGAUCUUCGGACCUUGCGCUAUCGGAUGAGCCUAUGUCGGAUUAGCUUGUUGGUGGGGUAAUGGCCUACCAAGGCGACGAUCCGUAGCUGGUCUGAGAGGAUGAUCAGCCACAUCGGGACUGAGACACGGCCCGAACUCCUACGGGAGGCAGCAGUGGGGAAUAUUGGACAAUGGGCGAAAGCCUGAUCCAGCCAUGCCGCGUGUGUGAAGAAGGCUUUCGGGUUGUAAAGCACUUUCAGUGAGGAAGAACGCCUCUGGAUUAAUACUCUGGAGGAAAGACAUCACUCACAGAAGAAGCACCGGCUAACUCCGUGCCAGCAGCCGCGGUAAUACGGAGGGUGCGAGCGUUAAUCGGAAUUACUGGGCGUAAAGCGCGCGUAGGUGGCUUGAUAAGCCGGUUGUGAAAGCCCCGGGCUCAACCUGGGAACGGCAUCCGGAACUGUCAGGCUAGAGUGCAGGAGAGGAAGGUAGAAUUCCCGGUGUAGCGGUGAAAUGCGUAGAGAUCGGGAGGAAUACCAGUGGCGAAGGCGGCCUUCUGGACUGACACUGACACUGAGGUGCGAAAGCGUGGGUAGCAAACAGGAUUAGAUACCCUGGUAGUCCACGCCGUAAACGAUGUCGACUAGCCGUUGGGCUCCUUGAGAGCUUUGUGGCGCAGUUAACGCGAUAAGUCGACCGCCUGGGGAGUACGGCCGCAAGGUUAAA
RNAcentral lists this ribosomal RNA (846 nucleotides) under Halomonas beimenensis. Its description in RNAcentral is "bacterial SSU rRNA". It matches the Rfam family "Bacterial small subunit ribosomal RNA", at positions 61 to 898 of the family's 1533-position model. Lineage: Bacteria; Pseudomonadati; Pseudomonadota; Gammaproteobacteria; Oceanospirillales; Halomonadaceae. The record is from RNAcentral.